CGCUGGCGGCGUGCUUAACACAUGCAAGUCGAACGAGAAGGUGCUUGAAUUGGUUUCGACUGAGGAAAGUGCUGGGAAGUGGCGAACGGGUGAGUAACACGUAGAUGACCUGCCUUGGAGUGGGGGAUAACCACUGGAAACGGUGGCUAAUACCGCAUGGUUCUGCGAGUAUGGGAAUACUUGUGGAUAAAGUGUAUGGAAACAUAUAGCGCUCUAAGAGGGGUCUGCGUCCGAUUAGUUAGUUGGUGAGGUAAAGGCUCACCAAGGCGAUGAUCGGUAGCUGGUCUGAGAGGACGAUCAGUCACACGGGAACUGAGACACGGUCCCGACUCCUACGGGGGGCAGCAGUGAGGAAUAUUGCACAAUGGGGGCAACCCUGAUGCAGCAACGCCGCGUGGAGGAUGAAGGUCUUUGGAUUGUAAACUCCUUUUUUCGGGGAAGAGGAAGGACGGUACCCGAAGAAUAAGUCACGGCUAACUACGUGCCAGCAGCCGCGGUAAUACGUAGGUGGCAAGCGUUAUCCGGAAUUACUGGGCGUAAAGGGCACGCAGGCGGCAGUCAAAGUCCGACGUGAAAGCUCCUGGCUUAACUGGGAGAGGUCGUUGGAAACUUGGCAGCUUGAGGUGAUGAGAGGGGUGCGGAAUUACCGGUGUAGUGGUGGAAUGCGUAGAUAUCGGUAGGAACACCAGUGGCGA
This 695-nucleotide ribosomal RNA is filed under the name uncultured bacterium. RNAcentral describes it as "bacterial SSU rRNA". It matches the Rfam family "Bacterial small subunit ribosomal RNA", at positions 34 to 718 of the family's 1533-position model. The record is from RNAcentral.